CCCUGCUCAGCGUGCCGUGGGUGCAUCCGUGUUGGCGGGCAUAACUGCCGCGGUUGUUGGCAAGUCUCCUCCGCCUGCUUGCUGUCACGGCUAAUCGGGCUGCUGUGAAGCGUGUGGCCUGUGGGACGCCACCGCUUCCCUGGACUGGCUGCUGUUUCGGCUCUUUUCCUACGGCUGUUUCGGCUCUUGUCUUUUUCUACGGCUGUUUCGGCUCUCUGUGCAGCUCUCUUGUCGACGUGUUGUGUCGGCUCGUUCUCUCUGUGGCUCUUUGCUUCAGCGUAGUAGUUUUAUUGCAUUGUACUUUCGGCACUAAAGCCUUAGGCUUUGUAACGCUGUUAUAUCGCCUUAUAUUGUAUAUGCAUUUUAACUAUUGUUCUGUGGAGUGAGUGUGUGUGCGUGUUUUAUGAUUAUGUGUAUCGGUCUGGUCACCAGGCUUCUGUUAAGUUAGCUUUACUAAUAAUUUGUUUCUUUUGUGCAGGUUCGGCAAGCCUCGGCGGCAGUCCAAUCCCUGGUGGUGGUUUCACAAGUCCUCUUUUUCGUUGGUGUGUCAUGUCACAGGCAUACCCAUUUCUUGCAACAGAUGAGAAUACUUGGGACACAAAAGUUAAGAUGAGAGUGAUGACGUCACGUCUGCUCUCUCCAAACGUCCGUGAAUGAACGGAGCUUCUCGCCGGGUGCGGUGGCGCGCGCCUGUAAUCCAAGUUACCGGGAGGCUGAGGCUGGAGGAUCGUUUGAGCUCAGGAGCUCUGAGCUGCAGCGGACUAUGCCGAUCGGGUGUCCGCGCUAAGUUCGGUAUCG
Molecule: long non-coding RNA, 798 nt
Organism: Amphiprion ocellaris (clown anemonefish)
Lineage: Eukaryota; Metazoa; Chordata; Actinopteri; Pomacentridae
Source: Ensembl